Molecule: ribosomal RNA, 253 nt
Filed under: uncultured bacterium
Lineage: Bacteria
Description: partial 16S ribosomal RNA
Rfam family: Bacterial small subunit ribosomal RNA
Source: RNAcentral
UACGUAGGGGGCGAGCGUUGUCCGGAAUCAUUGGGCGUAAAGAGCGUGUAGGCGGCUUGGCAAGUCUGACGUGAAAGCCCGCGGCUCAACCGCGGAUUGUCGUUGGAAACUGCCUCGCUAGAGUCCGGAAGAGGAGAGCGGAAUUCCUGGUGUAGCGGUGGAAUGCGCAGAUAUCAGGAAGAACACCCGUGGCGAAGGCGGCUCUCUGGGACGGUACUGACGCUGAGACGCGAAAGCGUGGGUAGCAAACAGG